CACAGCAGAAAGGACCGUGUAUUGGUUAAGCAUAUAAGGAGUAGAAAAGAAACAAGGUCAAGGGACAUGGUGACUCUUCGUUUAAAAAGGAAGCAAUUUCAUCCUGUUAGCAUCUUCAUUUAAAAAGGAAGCGAUUUCAUCCUGUGAGCAUUUAAACCACAAUGUUGACCAGAUCUGGAAGAUAACCUGGCUGUCAGAACCAUUGGUUUUGAAGAUGUGGUAAACUGAGGCAACAGGGACCUCAAGCAAGUUCUCCCAGAUCAUUAACCUUGGGGAAGUCACUCAAUCUCUCUGGGACUUCCUUACCUACAAACUGGAUCUAACAGUACAGAUUCUACCCAGCUUCCGGGAACGAAAUGAAAUGCUGCAUGUGAAAACACACUGGAAACUUAAAAUGCUAAUCAAAGAUGAGUUAUGAUUGUUGUAUCUGAAUCCAGUGCUACAAAUGCUAUGGCAUGUGGUCAUCUAACCAAAUUUUCUUAGAUUAUUUGGAGAAGGGGGUGGGUGUUACAGUCCAAUACAGCAAUGAGGUAGAGCUUUAAGUUAUAGGAAGGAAACUUUAAAUUGCCAACCAUUGCUAUUUCAGAGACAUCAUGAGGAUGUGAAAUCACUUUGGAGCAUACCUGCUUUAUUUUGAGAUGAGUCAUUUGAAUGGAUCCUUUUUAGUAUUGUUGACAUAGUAAGAUACUUAUUAUUCUGGUGGCAGUGCAACGGGUAUUAUUUUAGUUUUGGUUUUGGUUUGCUUGACUAGGGCUUGCAACUUUAGCACUGCAGGCAGCUGGAAUCUUGCUGCCAAAAUGAUUGGUUUGGGAAGUGGGCGUAUGGCCAGAAAGUCCCAUCAGAAUUA
Non-coding RNA from Saimiri boliviensis boliviensis (Bolivian squirrel monkey), 847 nucleotides. Lineage: Eukaryota; Metazoa; Chordata; Mammalia; Primates; Cebidae. The record is from RefSeq and is a predicted model, not a curated record.